This 1280-nucleotide long non-coding RNA is filed under the name Citrus sinensis (sweet orange). RNAcentral's name for it is "long non-coding RNA (CSIN_LNC005496)". The record is from RNAcentral. Lineage: Eukaryota; Viridiplantae; Streptophyta; Magnoliopsida; Sapindales; Rutaceae.
AAUAAGGCAGCCUUACGCACUCUUAUGCACCAAAACAUCAGCCGAAAUGAAGUCUCCUUGCUCUUCUAUCAUCCAAUUUGUUUUUGUUCUUCUUUUAUCAUAUCAUUGUUGGGUUACUUUUGGCAACAUUCAUGCAACUUCUUCAGUGCCCGAUGAGAACUUAUUCCUUCAUUGCCUAUCUAUGCACUCUGAUAACUUCUCCUCCAUUUCUAAAGUGAUAUACACCCGAAAUAACUCCUCAUUUUCAUCGAUAUUGGAUUUUUCAACACCCACCACCCCAAAACCUCAAGUCAUUGUCACUCCAUUGAAAGAAUCCCAUGUUCAAGCAGCCGUUAAAUGUUCCCCAAAAUAUGGCAUGCAAGUUAGGGUUCGAAGUGGAGGUCAUGACUAGGAGGGUUCUUCUUAUGUUUCUAAUCAUCAUGUCCCAUUUGUCGUCAUUGAUUUGAUAAAUCUUAGCUCAAUCAGUGUUGAUGCAGAGGCUAAAACUGCAUGGGUUCAAGCCGGAGCAACAAUUGAUAUGCCGUAUGAAGAUUCUAACCGGUUCGGAGGGGAAAAAAAUAGCCGACCCUAAAAUAAAAUCCUGGCUUUGCUUCUGACCGGGGUGCAGAGAAAAUGGAAAAUUAAGAGAGAUAUUUUAGCUGACAAAAAUAAGCCACUUUCCUGUUUCUUUCUAUUUAAUGCGCUUUGCCGUCGCAUUGACGUUUGUUAACUUCCAUUCAAAGAAAUUUAGAGUGCUUGUUACGAAAUAAGCUUUUGGGGUUCCAUAAAUAAGGCAGCCUUACGCACUCUUAUGCACCAAAACAUCAGCCGAAAUGAAGUCUCCUUGCUCUUCUAUCAUCCAAUUUGUUUUUGUUCUUCUUUUAUCAUAUCAUUGUUGGGUUACUUUUGGCAACAUUCAUGCAACUUCUUCAGUGCCCGAUGAGAAUUUAUUCCUUCAUUGCCUAUCUAUGCACUCUGAUAACUUCUCCUCCAUUUCUAAAGUGAUAUACACCCGAAAUAACUCCUCAUUUUCAUCGAUAUUGGAUUUUUCAACACCCACCACCCCAAAACCUCAAGUCAUUGUCACUCCAUUGAAAGAAUCCCAUGUUCAAGCAGCCGUUAAAUGUUCCCCAAAAUAUGGCAUGCAAGUUAGGGUUCGAAGUGGAGGUCAUGACUAGGAGGGUUCUUCUUAUGUUUCUAAUCAUCAUGUCCCAUUUGUCGUCAUUGAUUUGAUAAAUCUUAGCUCAAUCAGUGUUGAUGCAGAGGCUAAAACUGCAUGGGUUCAAGCCGGAGCAACAAUU